This 745-nucleotide ribosomal RNA is filed under the name uncultured bacterium. RNAcentral's name for it is "bacterial SSU rRNA". It matches the Rfam family "Bacterial small subunit ribosomal RNA", at positions 94 to 823 of the family's 1533-position model. The record is from RNAcentral.
AGCGGCGGAUGGGUGAGUAACACGUGGGGAACCUGCCCCUAAGUCUGGGAUACCAUUUGGAAACAGGUGCUAAUACCGGAUAAUAAAGCAGAUCGCAUGAUCAGCUUUUGAAAGGCGGCGUAAGCUGUCGCUAAGGGAUGGCCCCGCGGUGCAUUAGCUAGUUGGUAAGGUAACGGCUUACCAAGGCGACGAUGCAUAGCCGAGUUGAGAGACUGAUCGGCCACAUUGGGACUGAGACACGGCCCAAACUCCUACGGGAGGCAGCAGUAGGGAAUCUUCCACAAUGGACGCAAGUCUGAUGGAGCAACGCCGCGUGAGUGAAGAAGGUUUUCGGAUCGUAAAGCUCUGUUGUUGGUGAAGAAGGAUAGAGGUAGUAACUGGCCUUUAUUUGACGGUAAUCAACCAGAAAGUCACGGCUAACUGCGUGCCAGCAGCCGCGGUGAUACGUAGGUGGCAAGCGUUGUCCGGAUUUAUUGGGCGUAAAGCGAGCGCAGGCGGAAAAAUAAGUCUAAUGUGAAAGCCCUCGGCUUAACCGAGGAACUGCAUCGGAAACUGUUUUUCUUGAGUGCAGAAGAGGAGAGUGGAACUCCAUGUGUAGCGGUGGAAUGCGUAGAUAUAUGGAAGAACACCAGUGGCGAAAGGCGGCUCUCUGGUCUGCAACUGACGCUGAGGCUCGAAAGCAUGGGUAGCGAACAGGAUUAGAUACCCUGGGUAGUCCAUGCCGUAAACGAUGAGUGCUAAGUGU